GAGAGGUAUUCCAGCCCUCUGACCAUUUUGUGGACGUCUUUGGACCUGCUCUAAGAAGUCCUUUUCUGUCUUCUGCUGGGGGACCCAGAGCUGGACGCGGUAUUCCAGAAUACAGAAGAAUAAAGGUAGAAUAUAUCUCAUGAUACCAAGCUACUGUGUUAUACGCAGACACUGUGGGCUCCAGCACUCAUCUUUCCAGGCUCUAUCAACAAAGUGAUGAAGUCUGGACUAGGGGAGACAAUACUCUCAGUCCCUCCAGCUGCCAUUUUUUUCUUGUAUGGAGCAGGAACAUAUUCUUCACAUAUGAGCAUCUCCAAGGCCAAGCAAGAGUGAGGGAUUGUUCAGGUGCACUUGGUACUAAAAUUUCAGAAAUGAGAUCAUCCUGGUUGUGGUUACAAUGCUGCAGGGACAUCAGGCCCAUCAGCUUUGUGGGCUGGGUUUAGCACGUUGGUGCAGAAGUCUGAGAAAGGGGCGAAUACAGCACAGGGACCCUUGCAGACGUGCCCGAGGCUCACUGAUGAAACACAGCAAAUGAAGCAUUUCCUGAAGAGGCAGGAUGAGUGAUCUUUGUGCACCUUGCUGCUCUCACCUCUGCUACCUGCGCUGCUGAAACAGUAAGUCACGGGACGCGAAGGCGAGUCCUGAGAGCUGUCAAAAGGGGAUUGUUGCCACAGAAACUACGCCUUGCACUCUGCAGGUUCAGAUUACAGAUGGAUUUUAGAAUACAGCUGUUUCCCUAAGAAAGUGCAGUGAUCUGUCACCCAUGACCAGGAACGACAGGACCAUGAGGAGGUUUAACGUACGUCGAGAAAUGAUGUUUUGAGAGAGGAAAUUCCGGUUUAGGAGUUGAGCGUGACGCCUGAAUGUACUCCUCACAGGAUGGAAGGUCAGCAUCAGGAGGGAUGGUAGACCUCCCUGGAUUUCUUCAGCUUAAAGGAGGAAGACUAUAUGAGCAAUGAUUCGAAUAGGAAGCUCAGCCUUAAUGAUUGAAGAGAAAUACCUAUGUGAAGGCACGUUGCUAUUUAUCAUGAAUAUAUAUUUUAUUUUUACUAAGCAGAACUACAGAAAACAAACUUUUCGUCUGUUACUUCAAUGAUUUUUACACUGUACCGAGCAGGUUAUUUGUGCUGCCUCAGGAAUGUCAAGCUGAAACAUGACAGAAGGCGGAUCUCCUAUCUAUUUGAAGGUUGACCACAGAGUUGGUGGGACCCACUAGACCAGAUGCUGGGACAUCACUUGGAUACUCCUUUCCUGGUAGACAUUUCCUUCUGCCGGUCUUGGCGCCCCAUGAAAGGAAGAAUUUUCCAACACGGAUUUUGCUGCUUAGAUUUUUCUCGGUUACAUGCUGGGGAAGGCGGGCUCUUGGCCAGAGAGACUUCUUCCUGUCCUGUUUCAUCUCUCCCAUUCCUGAGGAACGCCAGGAAUAAAACUGAGACAACUCUAUCCAAAUGUGACAUUAGAAGUCUUAAGGAACUGCUACUGGAUGUCAGCAUUCAACACGAAUGAUGUGGCUCCUAAUUACUGCUGUGGGAAAGACUAUUAUUUGGUGAAGUAUCAGGCCUUAUGACGGGAGUGAAAGGGGUCCCCUGAGUGCUCAGGAUGGCAUGGAACACCUAAGACGACCUGCAUGUAAGAAAUUUUGGGACCCAGCAAUAAUGAGCCCUCCAAUCCCAUGGCUCAGAUUUGGCCUCCACUUCCACUGCACCUCCUUCAUUGAACUUCCAAAUCAGGAGCCAGUUCCCUGAUGAACCAUUGAUACAACAUUAUGGAUGUGUGAUAAGUUAAUUGUACAAAGCAAGCAUUAAGUUAAAGCUCUUGGGGGUGAAGAAGGGGAGAUCUGCUUAGUCGUUUAGCUGAGAAUGCCACAUUAAAAAACUAUGGAUAUAACUUGGAGAGGGAGAAGAAACCCAAGACUUUCUAUGAAAAGCCCAGCUGGGGACAGCUUUUCUCUUCGAAGUCUCCUUGAACUAGAAAGAAGUUAGGAAAUUAAUGUUUUUCUCAUUUGGAUAAAGUUUAUGUGUAAAAUGGAUAAGCUUUAUGUGUAAAACUAAAUUGAUCAAAUGUGAAAAGUAUUUAAUCUUUAGGCUUGCUGAAAAAGAAUAAUGGUAUAGCCUCCCUAAUGUGUUAGAACAUUCAUUCUGGUUCCACAACAGACCUAUUCUGGGACAAGUUUCAUUAUUUGCUGCUUUUCUUUAUCUACAACAACAGCAACAGAAAAUGUAGAUUUUGCCUCAUGAGAAUAUAGUUUUUUCCCAGAAACUUUAACAAUAAACACAAAAUAUCAAAAUCCUUCAUAUGGAAAAAUGAUAAAAAAUGACUGCCUGUUUAAUACCUUAGUUUUUCCCUGACAUUAUUUAACAUCUUUGCUAGAAGUUUUCUUAUAGAUCAAACACCUGUAGCUACAUGGAACCUACGGCAGAGAAAUGACAUUUCUGCUGUAAUAAUUUUAAUAAAUUGCAAUUUGCAUAGAUUGUAUUUGAUGCUAGUAUACCACGCAGUAUGUAUGCAAAUACCAGAACCUUCUCUACUCUAUUUGAAAAAGCUUUGCAAACUUGCUAUUUUCUUCCACUUUGGAAUAACUUGGACUGAAUUACUGACCUUCAAGAUUAGAUUAUUUUAUAAAUUGUAAGCAAUAGAAAGUGUAACUUUCUAUUUCUUUUGACAAUAAAUAUUGAAAAAGAGUUUUCCAAUUUUGAUGAUGUAUUCCCAGAAGACAUAUUUUUUAUGGCUUUAAAUGUUAAAGACUGUUUUAUUGCUUGUUCUUAUUUUCUGUAGAGUAUUCCAAAUAUUCUACUCAGUCAUCUCCUAGAUUUGUUUUUUUUUUUCUGAAAUUUUGGUUGGUUUUCACUAACUCUUCUUUCAAUUCACAAAAUAAAUAGCUAAAAGGGCCAGCAGUGUAAUGAUUACUACAGAAAUUUCAACAAACCCUCUCCUUCAUUAACAAAACAAAGAGUUCUGCAGCUUUUUCUGACAACCAAGUUAACAACCUAAUAGAGAACUUUCUUCCUACUCCCUUUUACUUCAAACAGCUGAACAGUAGAAAAACACCUCUGUUUGUAAGUAAGGCCUUAUCCCUCUCAAAGUGUUUCCUUCCUUUAUACUGGUAUAUUUUUUCCCAUUGUAAUAAACAUGGGCUGACACUU
Long non-coding RNA from Calidris pugnax (ruff), 3143 nucleotides. RefSeq lists it as uncharacterized. The transcript has 14 exons. NCBI's taxonomy places the organism in Eukaryota, Metazoa, Chordata, Aves, Charadriiformes, Scolopacidae. The record is from RefSeq and is a predicted model, not a curated record.